GGGGAAAAAAGAAAAAGAACAAAUCUUGCUGAGAUUUUCAAAACUCUCUGAAUCUUUCCAGCAGGCUUCCCAGCAGCGCUGUGUUUCAGUGAUCAACCAGCACCUGCAGGAAUUUCAGAGAAAGCAAGACAACAAUUGACCUGAAACUUUAUGAUUCUGCCUGACAUUAUGCUCUACCCACAGACACCUGCAGCAGGUGACACAGGAGCGUGUCCAGGAGGAGCCUUUCAAAAAUUAACCUGAGAGCAGCUGGAAAAGGUUGUGCUGCCUCUCUGCCUGUUGCAGCUGGCUGGCACCUCUGAGGAGGCUGCCACGUCACACCUUGCUGGAGUCGGGG
Molecule: long non-coding RNA, 337 nt
Organism: Hirundo rustica (Barn swallow)
Lineage: Eukaryota; Metazoa; Chordata; Aves; Passeriformes; Hirundinidae
Exons: 4
Source: RefSeq, a predicted model, not a curated record